CUCUUAUCAAGAGCAGGUGGAGGGAAUGGCCCGAUGAAACCCAGCAACCGACCGUAAUACCAUUGUGAAAUGGGGCGCCCGCAAGAUAUGGGGAGCCGCUGGAUUUUUUUAUUAAAAUCAGCGUAUGGCACGGUGCUAAUUCCAGCAAAACUACUCGUUUUGCUAAGAUAAGAG
This 174-nucleotide non-coding RNA is filed under the name Fictibacillus arsenicus. RNAcentral describes it as "SAM-I sequence". It matches the Rfam family "SAM riboswitch aptamer (S box leader)". Rfam says of the family: The SAM riboswitch is found upstream of a number of genes which code for proteins involved in methionine or cysteine biosynthesis in Gram-positive bacteria. The SAM riboswitch acts at the level of transcription termination control. The record is from Rfam by way of RNAcentral. Lineage: Bacteria; Bacillati; Bacillota; Bacilli; Caryophanales; Fictibacillaceae.